UUCCCCGACGGGGAGACUUAUGCUUCCUACCAGCAGCUAAUUGUUUUACCCACAAGGACAGGGGCUUCAAGCUCGUGCUGCUCUCCAGCCGAGGUGAGCUGAGGAAGGGUUAACCUUCCCUACUACAAUGGAGGCAAUCUAAAUCAAAUUGCCAACCAAGCAGUCAUCAAUGUACCGUAAGUAAAGCAGGAUGAGUUCAUUGGUUCAUCCCUGCCUUUUGCCUUCAUCAGCAAAUUCCAGUCCAAUGUGUACACUAUGCUUUACAUCAGUAGGGCAUGCAUGCGCUGUUAAGAGCGACUACAGUUCCAUUUGAUGGUUAGUACGAGCCGGAAUUUACAGUGGCCUCUGAACCUUUCAGGAGGAUCGGCUGACCCGAUAACCCUUGGAUUGUUCAAGGGCUCACUGGUGCUGGGCACCUGUGUUGCUUGCCGUCCGACCAGUCGCAAGGCACCUGCGACACCUCAAAAGCAGGUCCCACCGAGAUUUGAACUCGGAUCGCUGGAUUCAGAGUCCAGAGUGCUAACCAUUACACCAUGGCACCGUCGCAUGGCUUCCAGAGACAGCUGUCGAACACGGUCUUACAUGCCAUCAACAUGUAUGGUUGUUACUGUGCACACAACAAGAGACGGUAGGCACUAAGAAAUACCAGUGAAACAGACGACCGCAUGAAAAAGCAACUUUAACUGGCUGUCUAAAGUAACGUGGUCAGCUACGAGGGCUGAGGCUGAGAGCAGCAUGUUCAUUCUUUGCUGAGAGCAACACGUGCAAAAAGCAGGAGUCAGAGGCCACACAAACGGCACCGUCUCAGUUUAGCGUGUCAGGCACGCCCGCCGUACUACGAGCACAGUGUUUUAUUGUCUUCAUGCCGCCUGCCGUGUAAAGACUUGAUGAGUAAUCUCUGUCAGCAUCAUGUGGCAGACAACAGUGGCAGGGAAAAGCACGCCUUGUCAGAAGUGGGAUUCGAACCCACGCCUCCAGGGGAGACUGCGACCUGAACGCCAGCAGCCGCUGGAUCGUCUGUUUAGAAUUCUGUAAUGUUGAAGAUUACGGCCAAUGGCAUCUCGCUAUUCCAACAUUCUCCAACAUUCUCCAACAUUCUGGACCAAUCGCGUUGGCGAAUUCUUCCCAGCGUUCAACAUUUGACCAAUGACAGCGCAGCAAUGUUAGAGCCGAGGGAGGCGGGGCGAGGGUAUCCUUUCGCCAUUUCGGGUCACUGUCAUUACGUCCGAAAUUUUCCACUCGCUACAUGUAUCGAAAUGGCAAUGUCUUCCAAGACAAAAUCGCACAAGGCAAUGUCCGACUCAGAGUGGAUGUCCCGUCUGAGAAGGUUUGCCAGCACUGGGUCCUGGCCUGCAGGUGAAGGCAACAGACCUGCUCCCAGGCAGAAGAAAUGGUUUGAGCUGUAUCAGAGGAUUGAGAAAUGUCCGAUGCAGACUCAUGGACAGAGGUCAUUGUUUGGGCAAGAGAGGAAGUGCCA
Notolabrus celidotus (New Zealand spotty) is the source of this 1477-nucleotide long non-coding RNA. RefSeq lists it as uncharacterized. The record is from RefSeq and is a predicted model, not a curated record. NCBI's taxonomy places the organism in Eukaryota, Metazoa, Chordata, Actinopteri, Labriformes, Labridae. The transcript is spliced from 3 exons.